Molecule: ribosomal RNA, 1190 nt
Filed under: uncultured alveolate
Lineage: Eukaryota
Description: SSU rRNA
Rfam family: Eukaryotic small subunit ribosomal RNA
Source: RNAcentral
UGCCAGUAGUCAUAUGCUUGUCUCAAAGACUAAGCCAUGCAUGUCUAAGUAUAAGCGAUUUAUAGUGAAACUGCGAAUGGCUCAUUAAAACAGUUAUAGUUUAUUUGAUAAUCGAAUUUUACAUGGAUAACCGUGGUAAUUCUAGAGCUAAUACAUGCUGUUAAGCCUGACUUUUUGGAAGGGCUGUAUUUAUUAGAUACAAACCGAUAUUCCUUCGGGUCUAUUGUGAUGAUUCAAUAUAACUGAUCGAAUCGCAUGGUCUUGCACCGCGAUAAAUCAUUCAAGUUUCUGCCCCAUCAGCUUUCGAUGGUAGUGUAUUGGACUACCAUGGCUUUCACGGGUAACGGAGGAUUAGGGUUCGAUUCCGGAGAGGGAGCCUGAGAAACGGCUACCACAUCUAAGGAAGGCAGCAGGCGCGUAAAUUACCCAAUCCUGACUCAGGGAGGUAGUGACAAGAAAUAACAGACCGGAGCCUACGGUUCCGGGAUUGCAAUGAGUACAAUUUAGACUCCUUAACAAGUAACAAUUGGAGGGCAAGUCUGGUGCCAGCAGCCGCGGUAAUUCCAGCUCCAAUAGCGUAUAUUAAAGUUGUUGCAGUUAAAAAGCUCGUAGUUGGAUUUCUGUGAGAGUGCCGGUGUCGGCUGAUGCUUGUACGCAGGCGCUCUUACAUCCUUCUGUUAACUGUUCUUGGCAUUUUAUUGCUGGUUCAGGGCUCAGAUAUUUUACCUUGAGAAAAUUAGAGUGUUUCAGGCAGGCUUAUGCCGGAAUACAUUAGCAUGGAAUAAUGGAACAGGACCUGUGCGUCUCUCGGGGCGCCGGUCUCCGUUGUUGGUUUCGGGGACUAAUGUAAUGAUUAAUAGGGAUAGUUGGGGGCAUUAGUAUUUAAUAGUCAGAGGUGAAAUUCUCGGAUUUGUUAAAGACUAACUUAUGCGAAAGCAUUUGCCAAGGAUGUUUUCAUUAAUCAAGAACGAAAGUUAGGGGAUCAAAGACGAUCAGAUACCGUCCUAGUCUUAACCAUAAACUAUGCCGACUAGGGAUCGGAGGCGAGUACUAACAGCCUUCGGAACCUUAUGAGAAAUCAAAGUCUUUGGGUUCUGGGGGGAGUAUGGUCGCAAGGCUGAAACUUAAAGGAAUUGACGGAAGGGCACCACCAGGCGUGGAGCUUGCGGCUCAAUUUGACUCAACACGGG